UAUGUCAUUCAUAGUUGAACUUUAGUUCAAUGUGUUACAGCCACUAGUCAUAAGAACUAUGCACUAUACAAGUAAUAUAUCAAGUGGAUUUACUACUUGAAAUAUAGUUCAGCAAGUUUCUUGAGAGUUUCGAAAACGCUUGUGAAUGGGUUGAAUUGAACAGGGCGUCUCAACUCUAAAUCAGGAAAUUGGUUGUUUAGAGCUUGUUGCAUUCCGGACAUGGACAUCAUUGCUGAUAGCUGACUGGUAGUCUUUACCUCACAGUCUUGUGGAGUGUCAUUGAUUUUGCUUGGAUCAUAUCCGAAACUUGCUAAGUAGUUCUUGUACCUGUCGAUAAAUUCUGGUCCUGGAUUAGGCGUCCUCGAGUAUAUCUGAACGAAGCUUUUAUCUUUAGCUCCAGAAACCAGUGCGAAGUUAUCAUAAUCAGUUGCAAUUACAUCAUAAGGCUCCUUAGGGAUGAACGGCAGUGUAGGAAACCUAAGGUAACACUUCUCCCUAAUCAUUUCUUGCCUUUCUAGAUCAGUCUCGUCUUUCUCCUUAUCCUCCUCAUUAAGGCAUUGAACCCUUCCCCUUAUGCCUGUGAUGUAGCCAUCAGGUCCUCCAUGAACGCAAAAUGUGUCUACUUGGAUAGCAGGUGCAUUCAUAUCAACAGUGUAAAUGCCCUGUGUGCAAUGACAAUCUUCUUGACCUUGUCCAGCAAAU
This 702-nucleotide unclassified non-coding RNA is filed under the name Hevea brasiliensis (rubber tree). The record is from RNAcentral. Lineage: Eukaryota; Viridiplantae; Streptophyta; Magnoliopsida; Malpighiales; Euphorbiaceae.